Long non-coding RNA from Antechinus flavipes (yellow-footed antechinus), 447 nucleotides. RefSeq lists it as uncharacterized. Lineage: Eukaryota; Metazoa; Chordata; Mammalia; Dasyuromorphia; Dasyuridae. The record is from RefSeq and is a predicted model, not a curated record. The transcript has 2 exons.
GUCAGCAACCCUAAGUCUUCUCUUCUACAGGUUAACCAUCCCCAUUUUCUAUCUUCUAAAUAAACUGCUACAUGGUCUGCCACUGAAUUUCAUCAUUAUUCAGAGGAAGGGUGUUCUGGAAAUACUAGCACUUUUGUUGUGAGGACUACUGAACCCUUUUCAGGACGCACAUAUAUCUAUACAGGUGUCUACCUAACACUAACCUAUGGCUCCAAGAUGCUCCAGUCUCUUCAGUAGCCACCACACCUCAGUAAAACCAUCUUGGCAGAUUAAGCUAACCCUGUUGAGUAUAAUCAACAAGCUGGAAAUCCACUGGUACAAGGGAUGCUGUUUAUUGAGUGAAGCCAAGAUCUAAAACAUGGCAUUGUUGUUCAACUCCUAGGAUUCAUUUGGUGCAAGGAACUGAGUACUAAACUUUGCGUCAGGAAAAUAAAGGUUCAUACAUUA